This 381-nucleotide ribosomal RNA is filed under the name uncultured bacterium. RNAcentral describes it as "bacterial SSU rRNA". It matches the Rfam family "Bacterial small subunit ribosomal RNA", at positions 362 to 758 of the family's 1533-position model. The record is from RNAcentral.
UAUUGGACAAUGGGCGAAAGCCUGAUCCAGCAAUGCCGCGUGAGUGAUGAAGGCCUUAGGGUUGUAAAGCUCUUUUACCCGGGAUGAUAAUGACAGUACCGGGAGAAUAAGCUCCGGCUAACUCCGUGCCAGCAGCCGCGGUAAUACGGAGGGAGCUAGCGUUGUUCGGAAUUACUGGGCGUAAAGCGCACGUAGGCGGCUUUGUAAGUUAGAGGUGAAAGCCUGGAGCUCAACUCCAGAAUUGCCUUUGAUACUGCAUCGCUUGAAUCCAGGAGAGGUGAGUGGAAUUCCGAGUGUAGAGGUGAGAUUCGUAGAUAUUCGGAAGAACACCAAGUGGCGAAGGCGGCUCAACUGGACUGGUAUUGACGCUGAGGUGCGAAA